Molecule: long non-coding RNA, 1928 nt
Organism: Catharus ustulatus (Swainson's thrush)
Lineage: Eukaryota; Metazoa; Chordata; Aves; Passeriformes; Turdidae
Exons: 4
Source: RefSeq, a predicted model, not a curated record
UUAUAGAAGGGACUCCUUUGCUGAUGUGCAUAAUGGCAGGCUGAGUCCUAGGGUACUUUGCAUCUAGACUCUAAUGCUAGAUUUAAUUCACAGCUAAAACCUAAUGUUAAUAUCAAAUGGACACAUAGGAGGCAUAUCUGCUAGAAACCUGGUACCUUGGAGCUUAUUGUUGUGGCAAAUUUGUACAAGCUGCAAUAAACACCUUGAUCUGGAUGGCCAUGGUUACGUGGAGUGCACAUCUCGGGCCUUUCUGAGGCCUGGGACCACAUAGCGUCCAGCUCCUUGGAGCUAGCAUGUAACAACCUUUGAUAUUUAUGCAACAUUUUUUUGCAAUGUUCUUGGGGUGGGGAGAGGCCUCUGUGUUCUCUUCCUGAUGCAAAAGCAGAGAGUGAAUGGCAUCUUAUGGGCCAGUGUUGUAUUACAUGCAAGCAUAGCAUCCUACUAUCCUUUGGCUGCAUUCAUCCUAUUCAUUGCUUUCAUAAUUUGUUUUAUUUCUUUGUACCUAUCUUGGUAAGUUGAUCUGGGGAGUGUUGGAGGGUGGGGGGUUGUUUGUUUGGUUUAAAAUUUUUUUUAACUUGAAGACCAGACUGAAACAGUCCAGAAGGAAGGUAUUUUCUCUGCUCUCCGUUUUGCAUCUGUUUGUUACUUGCCCAUCACUGCAGUUUAUGGCACUUGCAGGCACCUGCCUUGAGGGAAGUAAGAGAGUAAGUAACACACCGACGCUGGAGUGCCAGGGGAGUGUAAAGUUGCCAUAGUUCGCGGGAGGUGGGGACAAAGUUCAGGAAAGGCUCACAGUGGUCUGCAGACAGCUGGGAGAGAUGCAAAGGGAUCUUUGAUGAAACCAGUGCUGAGGAAUCCAGAGGGAGUUAGUACCCAAACAUGCGUGGUUCAGCCCUGCCAGUCUUGUAGUUCAGUGACGGUAUGAGUCAGACUCUCUUUGGUCUGAAUGAAGUGGAAGGUACUUUCUACAAAGCAACUCAAGCAUAUGCCAAGGAUCCGGAUAAAUAAAACUAAUUCAGAAAAAGGGAGUGGGAUGCAGGCUCUUGCUCUAAAUCACUUCACAGUUCGCCACAGUGAAAUGCAAUAUGGCAUCUUAAAUAAAAUCACCCUCUUCUGACUCUCGCAGAGGCUGCUUCAGAGCAUUCCCUGGUUUCCAGCAGUUUUAUUUCCUCCCUUAGAGAGACAGACCAGCCUUGACUGAGCAACCGAUUUUCAUGCAUCCUUUAAACCAGCAUUCCCUGCCAUUUCUGAAGGACAGCACACGUUGCUAGCUGUUUCUUCCCCCUUAAACAAUACAGUUUUGGGGUUGGGUUGUGGGUUUUUUGAGUGUUUUUUUUUUUUUUUCCCCUCUCCAUCUCAUUUCUUUCUGCAUGCAAAGUGAUUUGAGAGCCCCGCGACGCAGCCUGCUACAGGAGCGAGGACUUCUCUGGAACAUUGGCGUGCGCAGGGAUUAAUCCCACCGUAGAGAGCCAGCCUGGCCUUUGAAGUGUUACAAGGGGAAGGAGGAGAGCGGAGAGGGAGCGAGCGCUGUACCGCAGACAUCAUUUCUACUACAGUGGUGGAGACAUCCCGGACCUGUGUCACUGCAGGGGGAAGGAAAAAAGCCAAACAAACAAAAAGCAGACCCAAGCCCCGUGAUCAGCUAGGAAGACAUUUGUGUGCGAAUCUCUCUGACCCCCCACCCCCGCCAACCCCACCUCCACUGACACUUUACAUCACAUUGCAGGCCAAGCCAGAUGGGCAAGCAAUACAAGCUGUGAAUUUAUUCUUGACCCCGUAGGACAGUGACCGCCGUCAUUUUUGUCUUCACCGUACAGUUAUGCACUGCCAAUAAGUGAAAAGGUCAAGAAAAGCAGUAGCUCAGUGGCUGAAUUUUUCUGAAGUGCUUUACAGCUUGGAAAGUGGGGAAACCUCUUAAAGUGGUGUCU